Molecule: ribosomal RNA, 460 nt
Filed under: uncultured bacterium
Lineage: Bacteria
Description: partial 16S ribosomal RNA
Rfam family: Bacterial small subunit ribosomal RNA
Source: RNAcentral
CCUACGGGGCGCUGCAGUGAGGAAUAUUGGUCAAUGGACGAGAGUCUGAACCAGCCAAGUAGCGUGAAGGAUGACUGCCCUAUGGGUUGUAAACUUCUUUUAUAUGGGAAUAAAAUGUUCCACGUGUGGGAUUUUGUAUGUACCAUAUGAAUAAGGAUCGGCUAACUCCGUGCCAGCAGCCGCGGUAAUACGGAGGAUCCGAGCGUUAUCCGGAUUUAUUGGGUUUAAAGGGAGCGUAGGUGGAUUGUUAAGUCAGUUGGGAAAGUUUGCGGCUCAAACGUAAAAUUGCAGUUGAAACUGGCAGUCUUGAGUACAGUAGAGGUGGGCGGAAUGCGUGGUGUAGCGGUGAAAUGCUUAGAUAUCACGAAGAACUCCGAUUGCGAAGGCAGCUCACUGGAUUGCAACUGACACUGAGGCUCGAAAGUGUGGGUAUCAAACAGGAUUAGAUACCCCGGUAGUC